Molecule: transfer RNA, 72 nt
Filed under: Synechococcus sp. CC9902
Lineage: Bacteria; Bacillati; Cyanobacteriota; Cyanophyceae; Synechococcales; Synechococcaceae
Description: tRNA-Gly
Source: RNAcentral
GUUCAGAAGGUAUUCGACGUAACAAAACCCCUUAAUCCAAUGUUUCAUUUGAUCGCUCUUCGGGUUCCGUUU